GGUACACCUCUCCUCCACGCCUGAUACGUGAUUCAAGCAAACCCCAAACCUACUGCACCUCCACACACACCGCCGAUUACAUGGAGAGAGAACGAUGAGAGAGAUCAGAAAGGAGAGAGAGAACGGUGUGUGUCGGAACGGCGGCGUUGCCUAUCACUGGUGGUGUGGUGGUGACUAGAGAUAUUAUCAGUGUGUGGUGUUGCCGGAUUCACGGUGCGGUUCCGGUGGUCAUGGAAUCAGGGUGCGGUUCCGGUGGUGAUUAGCGGCGUAGAGAAGAUGCUAGGGUUUCGGUGAAGGUCGGGCAAAAUUACGGUACCACGAGUGUCGGGAUCAACAUGAACAGACGACACCACGGGUGUCGGGAUCUCUGCCGGUGAGAGAUCUGAAAGUUUUAGGGUUCCGACGAGUCAGCUUAGCUCCGGUGAGAACCUGCUUUCCUGAACCAGUGUUUAUGAAAAAGGGGAACGCAUCCGGCAAGCACAAUAGGUUGUGGUGCAUCUAGAGGGCGGUGUUCAUAUCAAUCGGUGGUGUUCGAUUGUCUAUUAGGGCAGUGGUAAGUGAAAUCGGUACUAAAGCAAUCGAUUGGUUGUGUUCAAUAGUUUAGGGCGGUGUGCAUCACUGUUGCUUGGUCUCUAUGUUCUGAAUUGGUUGUGCGUGAUGUGGAAAUAAAAAUGAUGCUUCCAGCAUUUUUCAUGAACAACAUACAGAGAUUGUGCUAGGGGUGAGCAAAAUGAAAACCCCGACCCGAUCAGACCAUUACCCGACCUGACAAAAUACAGAACCGAUUCACUACCCUAAAUAUAGGGUCGGUUCUGGUCCAUAGGUGCAAGUCGGGUUUCACCAUGAAAAGAACCGAGAACCGACCCGACCCGACCCUAUUUUAUAUGAAAAAUUAGAACCGAUCUAAAUACCUAGGUACUUGGGUUCGGGUUCGGGUCCGGGUCGGGUUGGGUAUAUUUUCGGUUCGGUUCUCGGUUAUUUUCGGUCUGGACCUAAACUUGUUCACCCCUAGAUUGUGCGUUAUUUUUUGGUCUCAACAGCAUUUGUCAUCAACAAGGAGUCAACUGAUUGGAGUUUGACUGAAUCUGAGUUUUCGACAGUACUUUAUGCUGGAAGAUUGUUUUCGCUGUGUCAUUCAAUGGAUACUUCUUGCCAAGUUUUUAGAAGAGGAGGGAUGGUCAUCGGGCGGUAUGAUGGUGAGUUUGCGGGUUCCGGCGAGGCAGUGAUUGACCAAGAUAAUUUGAAAACUUUCUGUGGUCAUAAAGUAUAGAUGUGGAACUCCAGGAACUGCCAAGAAGAAAGGAAUAACAUGAUCAGGAACAUACAUUCAAGAACUGAAGUGUUCAUAGUAAUUAACAUAGUCGUAGAGUAUUAUUGGCGACAUAUCAUGUGAUUACACCAAGAAUGAUUUGGUUUAGCAUGAUCGUGUUAUGAGUUGUGAUGUCAAACGUACACACCAAGAAUGAUUAAGUUUAGCAUCAUCGUGUUAUGAGUUGUGAUGUAAAGCGUAAACACUAAGAAUGAUUGAUCCGGUUUAGCAAAGAAUGAUUUGGUUGAGUGCGCCGUAACGCGGCGCUGCGCAUAAAGCUAGUUCAAUUAAUUUUACAACUCUACGGAAUAUUGCACACAUUCAAACAAUUUGUCAUGUUCACAUUCAGUUAUGUAUACUUUUGACUUUUUUUUCUAAUAUUUA
Helianthus annuus (common sunflower) is the source of this 1693-nucleotide long non-coding RNA. RefSeq lists it as uncharacterized. The record is from RefSeq and is a predicted model, not a curated record. The transcript is spliced from 5 exons. Lineage: Eukaryota; Viridiplantae; Streptophyta; Magnoliopsida; Asterales; Asteraceae.